CUGUAUUUAACAAAUCUGAACAAGGCAUCAAUAGUUUCCCGUUUGAAAGAAAUUGAAUCCAGUCACAGUCGUCUUUACUUGUAUCAGUCAAGUUUUCUGUAGGGGUACCAAGACCUGGAUAUUUUAGUUGGAAGCAAUGAGCUUCAGACCCUGCCACAUAUUUAUGUGCCGCUAAACUUGGCUAUAUCACCUUCCUCGUUUUCAUUUGAUGGUGCAUUAUAAAUACACUGCGUAAUUAUAAUCGAUGAGAACAGUGAUUCUGUUAAACACAUCUCUUCGUCAUCGUCAUCUGCUCGGGUGCAUCAAAGUUAUAAUACACGGGCUGCUUCCAAGAGGAAAAUAGACCCUGACACAUCAUGACCUGUGCCGUCUUAUGAGGCCCAAACACUUGUUCCAGUGAUCUAUCAAGACAGAUUUCAUCUUUAAUGAACAUCUCAUCGAUUGACAGUACAGUUAAACGUUCCAUUUCUGAUAAAGUUUUCGCCUUCUCUUUCAUUAAAUAUAAGACAGAGUGUAGAAGGCCAGUAUUAAUUAUGAAAGAUGAUGCCUAUUUUCUUAGAGUACUCAAUCCUGGUAGGGGCCAG
This is a long non-coding RNA of Zophobas morio, 584 nucleotides long. RefSeq lists it as uncharacterized. The record is from RefSeq and is a predicted model, not a curated record. The transcript is spliced from 3 exons. Lineage: Eukaryota; Metazoa; Arthropoda; Insecta; Coleoptera; Tenebrionidae.